ACCCGCUGAAUUUAAGCAUAUUAAUAAGCGGAGGAAAAGAAACUAACAAGGAUUCCCUCAGUAACGGCGAGUGAAGCGGGAAGAGCUCAAAUUUGAAAUCUUCGGAAUUGUAGUUUAGAGAAGAGUCUUCGCAGAACCCUCCGACUUAAGUUCCUUGGAACAGGACUCCACAGAGCGUGACAGACGCGUAAAGUCGCGGGGGGAUUUGCAUACGAUGCUCUUUCAACGAGUCGGGUUGUUUGGGAAUGCAGCCCAAAAUGGGUGGUAAAUUUCAUCUAAAGCUAAAUAUUGGCACAAGACCGAUAGCGAACAAGUACUGUGAAGGAAAGAUGAAAAGCACUUUGAAAAGAGAGUCAAAAGUACGUGAAACCGUUAUAAAGGAAGCGAUUGAAGUCAGCAGUGCAGAUUACAUGAUCAGCGACCAGCCUGAGACGAUGGAGAUCGUAAGACUCCUAGGCAAAGGUGGGGUCGUUCACUCUUGUGAUUUGCGGGUCAACCGCGGUUUUCAUUGGGAGAGAGAGGGGCGUGAGAAGGUAGCCUGCUUGCAGGUGUUACAGCUCUAGUCCGUGUCUCCUUGAAGAUCGUUGCAAAGUGGAAUGACCGGACCUUGAGCACUUGUGAGCACGGUGUCGGACUGCACGCAGUGCGGUAACGUAGUAAGCCGGUGCGAGGGGGAGGAUCGAACACUUCUGGGUUGACGAAAUGGCUUUAACCGACCCGUCUUGAAACACGGACCAAGGAGUCUAACAUAUGAGCGAGUGUUUGGGUGUCAAACCCUGACGCGAAGUGAAAGCAAAAGGGGAGGUUAUCCUCGACCGAUCUGGAUAUUCUUUGAAAGAUUUGAGUUAGAGCUCAUCUGUUGGGACCCGAAAGAUGGUGAACUAUGCCUGAAUAGGGUGAAGUCAGAGGAAACUCUGAUGGAAGCUCGUAGCGGUUCUGACGUGCAAAUCGAUCGUCAAAUUUGGGUAUAGGGGCGAAAGACUAAUCGAACCAUCUAGUAGCUGGUUCCCACCGAAGUUUCCCUCAGGAUAGCUGGAACUUUGACAGUUUUAUCAGGUAAAGCGAAUGAUUAGAGGCCGCUGUGGCGAAAUGCUGUAGCCCUAUUCUCAAACUUUAAAUAGGUAAGAAGCCCGACUUGCUUAAGUGAAGCCGGGCACUGAAUGUGAGUUCCAAGUGGGCCAUUUUUGGUAAGCAGAACUGGCGAUGCGGGAUGAACCGAACGCGGGAGUUAAGGCGCCAAAAUCGACGCUCAUCAGACCCCAGAAAAGGUGUUGGUUGAUCUAGACAGCAGGACGGUGGCCAUGGAAGUCGGAAUCCGCUAAGGAGUGUGUAACAACCCACCUGCCGAAUCAACUAGCCCUGAAAAUUGAUGGCGCUUAAGCGUCGUGCCUAUACUCCGCCGUUGGCGCAAAUGCGAGGCGCCAACGAGUAGGUGGGCGUGGAGGUUGUGAAGAAGCCGCGGCGUAAGCCCAGGUGAAACGGCCUCUGGUGCAGAUCUUGGUGGUAGUAGCAAAUAUUCAAAUGAGAACUUUGAAGACUGAAGUGGAGAAAGGUUCCAUGUGAACAGCAGUUGGACAUGGGUUAGUCGAUCCUAAGAGAUAGGGAAACUCCGUUUUAAGACGCGCACUUCGAUGCGCUGCCUAUCGAAAGGGAAUCGGGUUAACAUUCCCGAACCGGGACGAGGAUAGUUUUUGCGGCAACGCAACUGAACUCGGAGACGCCGGCGGGGGCCCUGGGAAGAGUUCUCUUUUCUUUUUAACGUGCUAUAGCCCUGAAAUCGGAUUAUCCGGAGAUAGGGUCUAACGCGCGGUAAAGCAGUACACUUCAUGUACUGUCCGGUGCGCCCCCGACGGCCCUUGAAAAUCCGAGGGAAAGAAUGAUUUUCUCGCCCGGUCGUACUCAUAACCGCAGCAGGUCUCCUAGGUUAACAGCCUCUAGUUGAUGCGACAAUGUAGGUAAGGGAAGUCGGCAAAAUAGAUCCGUAACUUCGGGAUAAGGAUUGGCUCUAAGGGUGCGGCUCAUCGGCCUUUUGAGCGAGACGUGUGAUGGAGACCGGGACUACUGGGGCCUUCGGGACCUGGCGGACCUGGUCACUGUCGUGCGAGGAGCUUGGGAGGUAGCCUUCUUUGAAGGUGCUCGGCGGGCGAUUAAGCACCGACUUAGAACUGGUACGGACAAGGGGAAUCCGACUGUUUAAUUAAAACAAAGCAUUGCGAUGGCCGGAAAUGGUGUUGACGCAAUGUGAUUUCUGCCCAGUGCUCUGAAUGUCAAAGUGAAGAAAUUCAACCAAGCGCGGGUAAACGGCGGGAGUAACUAUGACUCUCUUAAGGUAGCCAAAUGCCUCGUCAUCUAAUUAGUGACGCGCAUGAAUGGAUUAACGAGAUUCCCACUGUCCCUACUUACUACGCAGCGAAACCGCAGCCAAGGGAACGGACUUGGCAGAAACAGCGGGGAAAGAAGACCCUGUUGAGCUUGACUCUAGUCCGACUUUGUGAAAAGACAUUGGAGGUGUAGCAUAGGUGGGAGCUCCGGCAACAAUGAAAUACCACUACUCUGAUCGUUUUUUUACUUAUUCAAUUAGGCGGAACUGGGCUUCAUCGCCCACUUUCUGGAUUUAAGGCGGCUUGCCCGCUGAUCCGAGUUGAAGACAUUGUCAGGUGGGGAGUUUGACUGGGGCGGA
This 2680-nucleotide ribosomal RNA is filed under the name Helgoeca nana. RNAcentral describes it as "eukaryotic LSU rRNA". It matches the Rfam family "Eukaryotic large subunit ribosomal RNA", at positions 23 to 2634 of the family's 3401-position model. The record is from RNAcentral. Lineage: Eukaryota; Choanoflagellata; Acanthoecida; Acanthoecidae.